Molecule: long non-coding RNA, 505 nt
Filed under: Phasianus colchicus (ring-necked pheasant)
Lineage: Eukaryota; Metazoa; Chordata; Aves; Galliformes; Phasianidae
Description: lncRNA (ENSPCLG00000021260.1)
Source: RNAcentral
AUGGGAGGACAGACCCUGUCUCACUGCUGCCACCUGUGUUGCUUUUGCUGUGCUCACCCCUUCUGUCUUCAUGUCACCGUGUGGAAGAACUUGCCCUUGUUGCCUGAAGAUGCUGCACGCAGUGAGGGCUCCCUGUUAUCCAAGGGUCUCUGGCAGUUUGGUGCCAUUGCCACUGUGGGCAUGUUCUGGUGUUACGCCAGGGUGCGCCACGUUUGUCACCAGCGAAGGAUGAGGCAGCACUCAAUUUGUUUCCUCAGCCAGAGGUACAAGCACUGUCUCAUUUUGUUCCUUAUGCCUGAAUAUGUCCAGAAUGCAAGGACUUGUACUAAAGAUGAUCAGGUUGUAGUCUGAAAUCUCUGCUUUGUUUCAAUACAUGCCAUUGUGUGCCAACUUCAUGCCGUGCUUCAGUUGGUCUUGGGGCCUUCUGAAUCUCUUACUCAGCCCGUCAGAAAGUUUCUACUUCUAAUUGAAGACAAUCUGGAAGUUGUGAAGAAGGCAAAAUCAC